AAUCCCAGCUAUAGCUGGGUAGUGAUAGAACCUUUAGUGUAUGUGAGUGGGUGUGUGUGUUGUGUAACCUAGGAUUGGGGGUUGUCCAAUCCACCGAUCAAAAAAAAGACCAAAAAAAAAAAAGCGAACUCAAUCAAAACCAAAGUCAUCUAAGGCCACACCGAUAAAAAAAAAAAUAAAAAUGGGUAUUAUUUUAAUAUGGGACAAACUAUUUAAACAAAGUUAAUAGAGA
Molecule: long non-coding RNA, 232 nt
Filed under: Arachis ipaensis
Lineage: Eukaryota; Viridiplantae; Streptophyta; Magnoliopsida; Fabales; Fabaceae
Description: long non-coding RNA (AIPA_LNC001401)
Source: RNAcentral